This 206-nucleotide ribosomal RNA is filed under the name uncultured bacterium. RNAcentral describes it as "partial 16S ribosomal RNA". It matches the Rfam family "Bacterial small subunit ribosomal RNA", at positions 1299 to 1500 of the family's 1533-position model. The record is from RNAcentral.
UGCAGGCUGCAACUCGCCUGCAUGAAGUUGGAAUUGCUAGUAAUCGCGAAUCAGAAUGUCGCGGUGAAUAACGUUCCCGGGCCCGUUGUACACACCGCCCGUCACACCAUGAGAGUCGAUAACACCCGAAGCCUGUGAGCUAACCUUUUAGGAGGCAGCAGUCGAAGGUGGGGUUGAUGAUUGGGGUGAAGUCGUAACAAGGUAUC